AUGCAUACACGCAUAUCUGACCAACUGAACAAGCAGUAACAGUUAGCAAAUUCGGAUAAAAUGUUAAGGAAUUACGAAUUGAUAUCUAAAAGCAAUUAAACAUACUAUCAGAUAAUACACAAAGCACCCAAAACCCCAAAAAGUGAACUAUCCUCAUUCCCCACCAUAAAAGCACUGCACAACAGAAACAAAAGGUAGACUGACAUUUUAACACGACCAAAAAUGAUUCAACUAAUAAAAGUCAAACUGAAUACAAACCCUAAAUAAAGAAACAGACCUGGAUGUGAGAUACAUAUACUCACAUUGAAACUCAAAAUGGAAUGGUCUGGCAUGGCAUGCAGGUAAAAGCGUCUCAAAAUAAGUCCAAUUGAGUAAACAGAACAAAAAAAUGAGAAA
This 396-nucleotide unclassified non-coding RNA is filed under the name Hevea brasiliensis (rubber tree). Lineage: Eukaryota; Viridiplantae; Streptophyta; Magnoliopsida; Malpighiales; Euphorbiaceae. The record is from RNAcentral.